This 118-nucleotide ribosomal RNA is filed under the name Pteropus alecto (black flying fox). The record is from RNAcentral. Lineage: Eukaryota; Metazoa; Chordata; Mammalia; Chiroptera; Pteropodidae.
GUCUACGGCCAUGCCACCCUGAACACACCCAAUCUCUUCUGAUCUCAGAAGCUAAGCAGGAUGGGCCUGGUUAGUGCUUGGAUGGGAAACCAUUUAGGAAGACCAGGUGCUGUAGGCA